UAAAUCAAAUGCAGCUUAUCAAAUAUUUUUAUAUACAUUUUUAUUGCGAGUUUCAGUUAUGCGCUGCUUAAGUUGUUUUUACAUUUACCGUUAGGGCCAGUCUCUGGACGCUGUUUGUUUUUGUGCGCGUCGUACUCAUUGAAAUGACAAACUAAUAAUAAUAAAAAAAAAUCAAAUUGGAUUAUCGCCAAGCCCCGUGCUAAUGUUGGCCGACACUGCCACACUUAUGGCCACAUUUCUGCAAUCCAAUUGGAACAAUAACAAGAACUGCCCCUAGCUAACAAUUUAAUUGCCAUUGCACAAAAACUGUUUGUGCUGAUAAGAAGAGGCCAGAACACAUCGUGGAAAACCCUUACACCCAACCUUAAGCCCCUCUGCCAUCCACCAACAAGGGAUAGUUCAACAUGUCUACCCAAUCGCUAUAUCGCUGCCUCUUGCCUCACGUCCCGCCACUUCGAGCAACGUAGAGUUUCUUCUGUUUUGUCUCAUAUUCUUCCAACAAAAUUGUGGCAAUUGCAACAACAACAACAACAACAAAUAUAAUAAUAAUAAGAACAAAGUCUUGUGAAAAUUCCUGCCAACAGCAACAAGUGAAACGCAAAGAAGAAAAAAAAAACAUUUAAAAACUAAAUAUAACAAAUCAAAAACAACAACAAACUACACUGAGAGAAACGCUCGAGCGUGUUUGGUGCCGUUUUGUGGUCUUGUUACUUCGUGAUUUCGUCGCCGUCGUCAGCGUUUGCCGCCGACGGAGGAGGACGAGAGACGCGAAGCAACGAGCCGUAGCCAAAGCCUCAACACGGACGCAUUUAUGGAUGCGGGCGGCCUGCCAGUGUUCCAGAGCGCCAGCCAAGCAGCAGCAGCCGCCGUCGCCCAGCAGCAACAACAACAGCAGCAGCAACAGCAACAACAGCAG
RNAcentral lists this small RNA (916 nucleotides) under Drosophila virilis. RNAcentral describes it as "GJ25734". Lineage: Eukaryota; Metazoa; Arthropoda; Insecta; Diptera; Drosophilidae. The record is from RNAcentral.